CUGACAGGGAAGGUAGCCGGUACCACCGACCGUCCCGGCCCACUUAUUCCGGCCUGCAGUGAGGUCUCACCCUAAAGUUAGGGUCGACUUCCAGACGACAGGCUCCUUCCCUUCUCUCACUCGCUGCCGGCGCCGGGAGAGUGGCUGGGAGACGCCUCCGGGGCCAAGCUGGACAUGAGCUGCGGCUGCCGGUCCUGGGACUAGGCCCCGCCAUUUUGGAUCCUCUGACAGGUUUGUCAGGAUGGUGGAUAAGAAUAUUUACAUCAUUCAAGGAGAAAUUAACAUUGUUGUUGGUGCCAUCAAACGAAAUGCCCGAUGGAGCACCCAUAUACCACUGGAUGAAGAGCGGGAUCCCCUUUUGCACAGUUUCAGCCAUCUAAAGGAGGUCUUAAACAGUGGGACAGGGGUCCUGAGUUCAAGUCCCAGCAACCACAUGGUGGCUCACAACCAUCUCUAAUGGAAUCUGAUGCCCUCUUCUGGUGUGUCUGAAGACAGCUACAGUGUACUUCUAUGUAAUAAAUAAAUAUUUUUAAACAA
RNAcentral lists this long non-coding RNA (537 nucleotides) under Rattus norvegicus (Norway rat). Its description in RNAcentral is "long non-coding RNA NONRATT001789". The record is from RNAcentral. Lineage: Eukaryota; Metazoa; Chordata; Mammalia; Rodentia; Muridae.